AUGGGUUUUGGAUAUAAUGACAUCAUUUUUAAAAUGCGUCCUUGUAUCAUGCUUAGGACGUUCUAGUUUUUUUCCAAAACACGGGGGAGACGGGAGAGCAUGGUAAACUAAGGCGCCUACCUCUGAGUUUGGUAAGGUCCCAGGUUCGAUUCGAGGAAACCCAGACAUAGAGAACAAUAAUAUAGAAGUAUAUAUAUCAGUCUCCCAAAUCACGGCACUUUGCAGCAAAAUUGAAAGGGAAAACCCUAAAUUUUCACUUUCCCGGGUUCUCCAAAAUUUCCCUCUCUAAGUUUCAAUUUCCCACCAUGAAAUCUCGCCAAAUUCACUUUAGAAAUCACCCCGUUCAUUUACUCAAACCGAGGUAUCAGAGCAGAAGAAGAAAAAGAAAAAAGAAACCGAGUUUUAUCAAUGUGCUCUGAUGCUUAAUGACCCAUCGAGCAUCACUGACUUCGAUCCAUAGCUUUUCUUCCUUGCAUAGUCUUCUUUUGCUGUUCUUAAGUGCUCAGGCUGUCUCUGGCUCCAGUAUGCUCAUAGAGUUCUCAACUCUGAAAGGUACCAUCAUGCCCAUCUCCUUUACGUUUUGGGAAGGACUGAAAGAUGACGCCUGAUUCUAGGAAAGUUGGGACGGGGAUGGCAGCAUCCCCAUCUCCUUUUCUCACGCCUCGGCCCGAAAAGCGGCGUGGUACUCUUGAUUGGAAUUCGAAUCACAAGGAUAAGGAUAAGGAAGUUAAUGUGCAAGUUGUGCUCAGAUGCAGAGUCUAUCAUAUGAAGUGUUUUCGUAUUUCAAAACAACCAUUACUUCUUCCUCACCAGCUCAUCCAGAAUUCAUAUUUCUGCAAGAACCAGGGAAUCAAUGUCGGAGAUGUUUAGAAGCUUCAGGACGCAGGGACCUACACCUGCAAUGGCUUGACGAUGCACACCAAGAAUAACUUGACUGGAAUUAAAGGUUUAUCUGAGGUCAAAGUCGAUAAGAUUUGUGAAGCUGCUGAGAAGAUUGUGGUUAGUGCUCAAAUUCUGUUGCGGUCUUGUACUAAGUCUGGUAUUUGGUCUAGCUGCAAAAAUGGCUGAAGAGCCAUUCAGACUUCUGGAAAAGAUUUCAGUACUUUACUCCCUCAGCUGGGUCGGAUCCCUUUUUUUACUUUAUCUUUGUUUCCUCCCUUAAUUAUACAAGAGUUUUAUUUAAGAUCUGCAUGGCUUCUAAUACAUAUGGAAUUGACCAUUCUGUUGGAUAAUAUUAUUGCAUUUAGUCUUCCCAUAAUUAUUGCUUUGCUUCCAGUUCAACUUACAUUCAUGAUUCAAGGUAUAUAUUUUGUUUAGGUUGCCAAUGUGAAUUGUGUGUCCCUAGAGUCAUUGCCAAGGUAUAUAUUCAUGAUUCAACUUUCUGUACUGCUUCUGAUUUUUAAUCUUGUUUUGUUUUCAGAUAAUGAAUUUUAUGUGUGCUUGCUAUCCAUCAUAUCGUUCUUUACAUAGGCCAAGUAAAAAUGGGACACUUGAAGUUGGGGAAAACAAAAUUCUUGAUGCUAAAACUGGUUCAGCAAGCAAGAGGCGACGUAGUACCAAGACUGUUAAAAGUGCAGAAAUCAUCAUUUAACAGGGUCUGUGCUGCUGUGAAUAAUAUUCUUUAGAAAAUGAAAGUUGAGAUAAGUGGUAUAGCGUGCAGGAGGUUCAAAAGUCAUGUUAUGCAGCUUGAAGCCCUAUUGAGAGGAGUGGCGCCAAUGUUGACAGCAAUAGGUUGAGGACUAGCAAAAGAAAGAUCAAAAGGCCAAUAAAGUACAUUAACUACCGGGAUUAUACACGGUACUUCUAUGCAUCAAUUUUAGCUUCACGAGUAUUAAAAACUAAAAAGACAUGCUAAGCAGCAGCUUGAGUUUCUUCAAGUGUUUCCUCUUCGUCAUCAGUCUAUAUACAUGUUCCACGCUCAUGAUGCUCCUCUAGUUAACUACUAUUAAAACUGUCUUUUUGUACAAUGAUUUGAGUUUUGUAAUUGAUCUUUUUGGUAACUUUUUCAGUUUUAUAGAUAAACUACAUUUAGGUGGUUCCAGACUUCCAGUGCUAUCUGAUCAUGGAAGUCCUAUUGUAGGUGGAGGGUUCCCCUGUACAUUACUUCAGAAUGUUGUGCUAUUUGUUUUCUUUAGAUAAAGAUUUGUACAAUUGUAUGCAUGUCUAUUGUCAUCUAGGAUUAGAUAAGAUUAGAAUGUAUAACUAGGAAUCAGUUACUAGAAUGUGCUUGUAGUCAAGUAUAUUGUAACAAGUAAUAGAUACAAUGACGUUUGUUUUGGGAUUGUAAAGAUUAUUUGUAUGUAAAUGUCUUCUUUUCA
RNA transcript from Rosa rugosa (rugosa rose), 2318 nucleotides. RefSeq lists it as uncharacterized. The record is from RefSeq and is a predicted model, not a curated record. The transcript has 9 exons. NCBI's taxonomy places the organism in Eukaryota, Viridiplantae, Streptophyta, Magnoliopsida, Rosales, Rosaceae.